UGUUCUCUAUGCUCCCAUGGAAGAGUACCUAGCACUAUUCCUCGGAUUGAUCUUCUGUAGCACAGAUUGAGAGACUCUGAUGAUCAAUAAAAGACUUUUGUUCAGUCCUUCUGUGCAGCCCGGUGGUUGGGUACCGCCACGGGAUAAUCAACUCACUGCCAGGGGAAACAAGGGCAGGCACGGUGAGACCAAGGCUUGCCUGAUGAGGCUUCUGCCUUUAAAUCCGCAGGAUGAGCUUUUAUGAGCGUGUCUGACGGCGUAGUCGCUGCAGGAAGUCGAGCGAAGGAAGGAAAGCAGGCGGCGAAACGAGGCUGGGGGCAUGAGAAGGAGGCUGGGGGGGGAUAAUUCCUUCUCUGCUGCUGGUCACAGGCCAUUGUUCUGCUUUAAACACCACUUCCACUCUGCAGGAUGUUGCUGCAAUUGGUCCCACCCAUUCCGUGUCAAUACAAAACGGCGACCUGGCAAAAAGGUGGGAAAAUGACCAUUUCUGCCAACUGGACCAAAGGAACUGUGUUGUGCAAAGAGACUUUGUACUUCCUAUUUGAGCACUCAAGUGUUUUUUCUUGUCACUUAAGAGGAUUCGCAACAUUUGAAAACAAGCUUUCACCAGCUAAUCCGUCAGUGAAGGCCAGCGGGGGCAGCAGAUGAUUGACAUGACUGAAAGUGACGAGGCAGCCUGACACACAAGGACAUGGAUUGCAAACCAACAAGCUCUUUGGGGUGGGAUUGAUUCAUCAGUCACAACCGCCCCUUACACGACAAAGCCUUGGGUCGUUCCCAAAACAAAAGGACCUACGCAGGGAACCAUUCAGCCAUGCUAUCAGCUCUUAUCCAGAGUACCACACAGCACACACACUUUGCACACACAGGAAUGCACCAGCAUAAAUUUGAUAAGAUGAACAAUGCUGACCGUCAUGUCUU
Phyllopteryx taeniolatus (common seadragon) is the source of this 921-nucleotide long non-coding RNA. RefSeq lists it as uncharacterized. The record is from RefSeq and is a predicted model, not a curated record. NCBI's taxonomy places the organism in Eukaryota, Metazoa, Chordata, Actinopteri, Syngnathiformes, Syngnathidae. The transcript is spliced from 3 exons.